This 20-nucleotide non-coding RNA is filed under the name Arabidopsis thaliana (thale cress). The record is from RNAcentral. Lineage: Eukaryota; Viridiplantae; Streptophyta; Magnoliopsida; Brassicales; Brassicaceae.
UGCGAAUCGUUCAGAUGUGA